Molecule: long non-coding RNA, 684 nt
Organism: Ostrinia nubilalis (European corn borer)
Lineage: Eukaryota; Metazoa; Arthropoda; Insecta; Lepidoptera; Crambidae
Exons: 4
Source: RefSeq, a predicted model, not a curated record
GGACACUGCACGUUGCAUCGCUGCGCUCGCGAACUCGCGCUGUGCCACGCGACGCGCCGCCUGAGUGCAGGCUGCACACAUGACUGUUCAUACUUGUGCGAUUUUCAUUCAUCCUUCUGCGGUUUUUCGGCCUUUCGCACGCACCCGGCCCUCUAAGGUCGUUCGUACCUAUCCUUAAUGAUCCUGGUUCUUCUGACACGAGUCCCGAACGAAGUUUAUUGAGCUGAAAAGGUCUCGAAUGCGUGCGGCGCAAAACGGAGCGACAUUAGAACUUUUAUCUAAAAUUAAAUCUUUGAUAGAAAAUAGUCGGGACAUUCUUUAGUGCGUAAGCGUGUGCUUCAAAUUCGUCGUUUAGAAUCGUUUUCCAUAUUUAAAGUGCCUAUCGAGGUUCGUUGUAGUUUUUAAUCGUUAAAUUGGUGUUAGUUAAAGUUAAAGAUACUUGUGGAUUCAUUGUGUAGUUUGUGUGUGAACUGAUCGAGAUUUGACUGUAUUGUGGACCGGCGGGAAAUUCUGGAAGUGUCUACAAAUCGCCGCAUUGAUUCACCUGGCAUGCUAUAAAGUAAUCCAUCCAGCUUAGUCCAAGAGAUUUUGGGUUUGAAUCACCAACAGCGUGUGUAAGAACAUCAUCGGUAUCAAGUAAUGUUUCCAUGAGCCCUUAGCAAUCCGACUCUACUCCUCCGUUUU